This 1475-nucleotide ribosomal RNA is filed under the name uncultured Bordetella sp. RNAcentral's name for it is "partial 16S-23S ribosomal RNA intergenic spacer". It matches the Rfam family "Bacterial small subunit ribosomal RNA". The record is from RNAcentral. Lineage: Bacteria; Pseudomonadati; Pseudomonadota; Betaproteobacteria; Burkholderiales; Alcaligenaceae.
CAAGUUCGAUCAUGGCUCAGAUUGAACGCUGGCGGGAUGCUUUACACAUGCAGCGGUCGAACGGCAGCACGGACUCUCCACCCAGCAUGAGUGGCGAACGGGUAUAAUGUAUCGGAACGUGCCUAGUAGCGGGUGAUAUGGAAUUACGCGAAAGCGUAGCUAAUACUGCAUAUUGGCCUCUUCGGGAAAGUUGGGGACCUUCGGGCCUCGCAUCAAUAGAGCGGCCGAUAUCGGAUUAGCUAGUUGGUGGGGUAACGGCCUCACUGGUUGGGGCGAUCAUCCUGUAGCUGGUUUGAGAGGCAGGACGACCAGCCACACUGGACUGAGACACGGCCCGACUCUACGGAGCAACAUGGGGAAUUUUGACUAAUGUAAACCUGAUCCAGCCAUCCCGGCGUGUGCGAUGAAGGCCUUCGGGUUGUGAAAGCACCUUUUGGCAGGAAAAGAAACGGCACGGGAUAAUAACCGUGCAACUGACGGUACCUGGUAGAGAAUAAGCACUGGCUAACUACGUGCCAGCAGCCGCGGUAAUACGUAGGUGCAAGCGUUAAUCGGAAUUACUACAAAGCGUAAGCGGCAUCCGACGAAAGAUGUGAAAUCCCAGAGCUUAACUUUGGAACUUGCAUUUUUAACUACCGAGCUAGAGUUGCUUAGAGGGAGGUGAAUUCACGUAGCAGUGAAAUGCGUAGAUAUGAGUGAACACCGAUGGCGAAGGAGGAACCGGGAUAACACUGACGCUCAUGCACGAAAGCGUGGGGAGCAAACAGGAUUAGAUACCCUGGGUAGUCCACGCCCUAAACGAUGUCAACUACUGUUGGGGGCCUUCGGGCCCGGUAGCGCAGCUAACGUGAAGUUGACCGCCUGGGGAGUACGGUCGCAAGAUUAAACUCAAAGAAUUGACGGGGACCCACACAAGCGGUGAUGAUGUGGAUUAAUUCGAUGCAACGCGAAACCUUAACCACCCUUGACAUGUCUCAGAAUCCCGAAGAGAUUUGGGAGUGCUCGCAAGAGAACUGGAACACAGGUGCUGCAUGGCUGUCGUCAGCUCGUGUCGAGAUGUUGGGUUAAGUCCUUCAACGAGCGCAACUCCUUUGUCAUUAUCAAGCACGAAAGGGCACUCUAAUGACUGCCGGUGGACAAAACCGGAGGAAGGUGGAGAGAUCAUCCUAUGGCCCUUAUGGGUAGGCUUCACACGUCAUACAAUGGUCGCCCGGCAGGGUCGCCAACCCGCGAGGGGGAGCCAAUCCCAGAAACCCGAUCGUAGUCCGGAUCGCAGUCUGCAACCUCGACUGCGUGAAGUCGGAAUCGCCAGUAAUCGCGGAUCAGCAUGUCGCGGUGAAGGCGUUCCCGGCUCCCAGGCGACACCGCCCGUCACACCAUGGGAGUGGGUUUUACCAGAAGUAGUUAGCCUAACCGGGCACACGAGGGCGAUUACCAUGCAGGGGGAUUCAUGACUGGGUGAAGUCGUGCACAGC